AGCUCAGAUCAAACUAGCACUAAUGCAUUGGAUCCCAUAAGAACUUUGUAGUUAAUCGUGCUUGGGCGAUAGAAGUACUUGGAAGGGUGACCUCCUAGGAAGUCCUUGUGUUGCACCUC
Molecule: ribosomal RNA, 119 nt
Organism: Lupinus angustifolius (narrow-leaved blue lupine)
Lineage: Eukaryota; Viridiplantae; Streptophyta; Magnoliopsida; Fabales; Fabaceae
Source: Rfam